GAUGAACGCUGGCGGCGUGCCUAAUACAUGCAAGUCGAGCGGAAAGGCCCCUUCGGGGGUACUCGAGCGGCGGACGGCUGAGUAACACGUAGGAACGUACCCCAAAGUGAGGGAUAAGCACCAGAAAUGGUGUCUAAUACCGCAUGUGCUCUAAGGAGUAAAGCUUCGGCGCUUUGGGAACGGCCUGCGCAUGAUUAGCUUGUUGGUGAGGUAAAAGCUCACCAAGGCGAUGAUCAUUAGCUGGUCUGAGAGGAUGACCAGCCAGACUGGGACUGAGAACGGCCCAGACUCCUACGGGAGGCAGAAGUAGGGAAUUUUCCACAAUGGGCGAGAGCCUGAUGGAGCAACGCCGCGUGAGUGAAGAAGGUUUUCGGAUCGUAAAACUCUGUUGUUAGAGAAGAACAAGGAUGAGAGUAAAAUGUUCAUCCCUUGACGGUAUCUAACCAGAAAGCCACGGC
This 458-nucleotide ribosomal RNA is filed under the name uncultured bacterium. RNAcentral describes it as "partial 16S ribosomal RNA". It matches the Rfam family "Bacterial small subunit ribosomal RNA", at positions 28 to 497 of the family's 1533-position model. The record is from RNAcentral.